AGUGUGAUUGCUGGAUUGCAUAGUAAAAGUUUGUUUAGUUUUGUAAGGAACUGCCAAAAUAUCUUCCAAAGUGACUGUACCAUUUUACAUUCCCACCAGCAAU
Molecule: microRNA precursor, 103 nt
Filed under: Marmota monax (woodchuck)
Lineage: Eukaryota; Metazoa; Chordata; Mammalia; Rodentia; Sciuridae
Source: RNAcentral